Molecule: long non-coding RNA, 430 nt
Filed under: Mytilus galloprovincialis (Mediterranean mussel)
Lineage: Eukaryota; Metazoa; Mollusca; Bivalvia; Mytilida; Mytilidae
Source: RNAcentral
AUUUUGCAGAAGCUAAGUACUGUUGGUACCUCAGGGCACCACUGCCAACAUUUACAUAAAGUUUCAUUAGGUUGCUCUUAUAACGAAAAAUUUAAAAAUUUGAUUUUUUUUUACAUUUUUUAGUUCCAUAGUAACGGCGGCCAUUUUGUACCAUUCCAAUGUCUCUUGCACAACUUACAUGGCGUUCAUAUUAUGGUAUAGUUCCAUCAACAUUGGUCUGACCAAUUCGAGAAAUAGUAUGCGACAAAAUGUGUGAAGAAUAAAAAUAAGAAAAAAAAGAAACGUACAAUAACAAUAUGUCACCCCAACUCCGUUGAGGGUGCCAUAAUAAUAAGAAAAAAAAGAAACGUAGAAUAAACAAUACGUCACCCCAAACUCCGUUGAGGGUGCCAUAAAAAAAGAAACGAACAAUAACAAUAUGUCACCCCAA